AAUACAUGCAAGUCGAGCGGACUUGCUGGAGCUUGCUCCAGCAGGUUAGCGGCGGACGGGUGAGUAACACGUGGGCAACCUGCCUGUAAGACUGGGAUAACUCCGGGAAACCGGAGCUAAUACCGGAUAGUAUCUUGAACCGCAUGGUUCAAGCUGGAAAGACGGUUUCGGCUGUCACUUACAGAUGGGCCCGCGGCGCAUUAGCUAGUUGGUGAGGUAAUGGCUCACCAAGGCAACGAUGCGUAGCCGACCUGAGAGGGUGAUCGGCCACACUGGGACUGAGACACGGCCCAGACUCCUACGGGAGGCAGCAGUAGGGAAUCUUCCGCAAUGGACGAAAGUCUGACGGAGCAACGCCGCGUGAGUGAUGAAGGUUUUCGGAUCGUAAAACUCUGUUGUUAGGGAAGAACAAGUGCGAGAGUAACUGCUCGCACCUUGACGGUACCUAACCAGAAAGC
Molecule: ribosomal RNA, 458 nt
Filed under: Metabacillus idriensis
Lineage: Bacteria; Bacillati; Bacillota; Bacilli; Caryophanales; Bacillaceae
Description: bacterial SSU rRNA
Rfam family: Bacterial small subunit ribosomal RNA
Source: RNAcentral